GAACUCCACUGCCUUUGUAAGAGAAUGAUUGGAUAUAAGAGACAGGUCGGACUGCUGCCAGACUAGGGAUGUAGACAUCAUUUGGAUUUAUAAAGAGAAUGGAAAAGCAGAUCCCCAGACAGAACAGCAGUGUCAUCUGGUCUAAUGAUGGGAGAUGGAUAACAGGACUUGUGACCCAGAAAAAGAAAAACUGAUCUACUGCUUAUUGUAGUUGUGCAACAUCUAUGCUAUAUUGAAUGCUCUGCAAUGGGAAACACCAAGAUGAACACAAGAUGUAUACAUUUUCAUGGCCGAGAGGGACCUUGAGUCAAAUGAAACAGGCCAUCUCUUCUCAUUUCUCCCCAUGCUGCGUUAGGACAUCUAAUUCAGAAAUCACUGUAAUACAACAUUUAAAAUGCACAAACCCAGGAAUAUGGGAACUCAGAGAAAGAAAAGCUCACUUCUGAUGAAGGAGAAAUGAGUGGCAGAGAUUUCCUGAAGAUGUGGUAUUUAACCUGGUACAGACCCUAGAGGAUGGGCUUGAAGCAUCCAAGAGGACUUGGAGCAGAGGAAGAGUGUGGCCACAGAACUGAAGACAGAAAGAGGCUACUCUCAGUUUAACGGGAAGGGAAUGAAGU
Molecule: long non-coding RNA, 617 nt
Organism: Odocoileus virginianus texanus
Lineage: Eukaryota; Metazoa; Chordata; Mammalia; Artiodactyla; Cervidae
Source: RefSeq, a predicted model, not a curated record